AGGGAAUCUUCCACAAUGGACGCAAGUCUGAUGGAGCAACGCCGCGUGAGUGAAGAAGGCUUUCGGGUCGUAAAACUCUGUUAUUGAAGAAGAACGUGUGUGACAGUAACUGGUCAUGCAGUGACGGUAUUCAAUCAGAAAGUCACGGCUAACUACGUGCCAGCAGCCGCGGUAAUACGUAGGUGGCAAGCGUUGUCCGGAUUUAUUGGGCGUAAAGCGAGUGCAGGCGGUCUUUUAAGUCUGAUGUGAAAGCCUUCGGCUUAACCGAAGAAGGGCAUCGGAAACUGGGAGACUUGAGUGCAGAAGAGGAGAGUGGAACUCCAUGUGUAGCGGUGAAAUGCGUAGAUAUAUGGAAGAACACCAGUGGCGAAGGCGGCUCUCUGGUCUGUAACUGACGCUGAGGCUCGAAAGCGUGGGUAGCAAACAGGAUUAGAUACCCUGGUAGUCCACGC
RNAcentral lists this ribosomal RNA (452 nucleotides) under uncultured bacterium. RNAcentral's name for it is "partial 16S ribosomal RNA". It matches the Rfam family "Bacterial small subunit ribosomal RNA", at positions 356 to 800 of the family's 1533-position model. The record is from RNAcentral.